This 358-nucleotide RNase P RNA is filed under the name Methyloprofundus sp. RNAcentral's name for it is "RNase P RNA component class A". It matches the Rfam family "Bacterial RNase P class A". From Rfam's summary of the family: Ribonuclease P (RNase P) is a ubiquitous endoribonuclease, found in archaea, bacteria and eukarya as well as chloroplasts and mitochondria. Its best characterised activity is the generation of mature 5'-ends of tRNAs by cleaving the 5'-leader elements of precursor-tRNAs. Lineage: Bacteria; Pseudomonadati; Pseudomonadota; Gammaproteobacteria; Methylococcales; Methylococcaceae. The record is from RNAcentral.
AGAGUUGGUCAGGCAGUCGCUUUUUUACUUUGUAAUACAAGUAAAACAGAGGAAAGUCCGGGCUCCAAAGGGCAAGGUACCAGAUAACUCCUGGGGGGCGUGAGCCUACGGAAAGUGCAGCAGAAAAUAAACCGCCUAACUCUUAGGAGUUAGGUAAGGGUGAAAUGGUGUGGUAAGAGCGCACCGCGUGACUGGUAACAGAAACGGCAUGGUAAACCCUACCUGGAGCAAGAUCAAAUAGAGGAGCUGACUCGUGGCCCACGGGGCUCCUGGGUAGAUUGCUUGAGCCAUAAGGUGACUUAUGGCCUAGAUGAAUGACUGUCCUCGACAAAACCCGGCUUAUCGACCAACUCUACUU